AGAGAGGAGAUACGAAACGAAACAGCCUGGAGAAGAUGGACCCUAUCCCUCUGCCGUACAUCACGGGGGCUCCGUAAAACCCCGGAAGGGAUCCGCCCACCUGCCCUUCAUAAUAGGGCUUUGGAGUUGACGUCACGCCGCGGAGCGCGGCGCCAUUUUCGGGGUCUACGAAUCAAAAGAGACACAGUGUUGGAACGACAACGACAAGAAUCACGCUUAAAAGCAGCUCCAAAGAAAACGGACGGUAUAGAGACCGAUUGCGUCCAGAGGCGAAGCAGCGGUACUUGCAGAAAAUUGCGUGCAUUGGAAAUGUGGACCCGUAUGAAACACUGCCGUGGAGUAGAAACCCUGAAGAGCAACCGCUAUAGCCUGACAUAUUUUCGUACUUUAUCUGUGGAGUCAGCGCGUACAAGUUGUCAUUCAAACAAAGGUGCUGCACUCUCAAAGACUGAAUGAACAGCAUUGCAGCCAUGGGUCACUGUGAGCAUCACAGGGAAGGUUG
Molecule: long non-coding RNA, 502 nt
Filed under: Oreochromis niloticus (Nile tilapia)
Lineage: Eukaryota; Metazoa; Chordata; Actinopteri; Cichliformes; Cichlidae
Description: lncRNA (ENSONIG00000032881.1)
Source: RNAcentral